UGAGGAAUAUGGCCUAAUAAGCGCGGACUGAUCCCCAUGCCGCGUGCAGGAAGACGGCCCUAUGGGUUGUAAACUGCUUUUACAGAGGAAGAAACACCCUCGUGAGGCUUGACGGUACUCUGCGGCCUAAUAAGCCGGCUAACUCCGUGCCAGCAGCCGCGGUAAUACGGAGGAUGGCCUAAUAAGCUCCGGAAUCAUUGGGUAGGUCCGUAGGCGGGACAAUCAGUCAGCGGUGAGUCUGUGGCUCAACCAUAGAAUUGCCAUUGAUACUGUUGCUUGAAUACUUAUGAAGUGGUUGGAAUAUGGUGUAGCGGUGAAAUGCAUAGAUAUUACAUAGAACACCGAUUGCGAAGGCAGAUCACUAAGUCAUUGACGCUAAGGCCUAAUAAGCGCGAACAGG
This 400-nucleotide ribosomal RNA is filed under the name uncultured bacterium. RNAcentral's name for it is "bacterial SSU rRNA". It matches the Rfam family "Bacterial small subunit ribosomal RNA", at positions 355 to 776 of the family's 1533-position model. The record is from RNAcentral.